RNAcentral lists this non-coding RNA (29 nucleotides) under Rattus norvegicus (Norway rat). The record is from RNAcentral. Lineage: Eukaryota; Metazoa; Chordata; Mammalia; Rodentia; Muridae.
UCCAAGGACCUAGCUGGCCUCAGUGUCAC